GUUUGCUUCGUUGAGAGAGGAAAGCGCUGCAGGAAAUCAUUGGUUUUGUUUUUUGCUUUUAUUUCUACGCUGGAUCUCCACCGCAUGGGAGACGACGCGUGUAAGAAUCGUUCAGAUGGAACAAAGGAGCCAAAAUAAUCGUUCCAGAAGGGGUUCAGAGAACCAGAUGUGGGGGGGGGGGGGGUACAAGCCCCAAGUUUCAGGUUGACCCCCAUUAAUUUUCAGAUGAAAGAGGAAAAAUAGCAUUCUUAUCUAUAUCACUUCCUUCUUCAGGAAAAGAGACCCUAAAAGUCUUUUAAAAUAUGUCAUUAUUGGAUUUUUUGAGGUAUGAAAACGGCUCCCGCUCGGACAGUUAACUAAACAUCACUCCGCAUAUUCAUAACACUAUGGCACAAAUGCAGUACGCAAUGGAUCUAUUUCCCAACAUACUGAAUCACAGAAAGUUAACAUGCGUUGAACUAGUGUGAACACCAUCACAAUUAGUGGCAGGUUUAUACAGGUGUUGAACAGCUUUUGGUGGAUGCAGUGGAUAGCAGUGAAUCGUUAGGAUCAACAAGAAAAGCAAGAACACGAAGGAAGAUUCAUAGCAUUCUAUAGCAGGUUAGUGGAAGUCUGAAGAGCAACCGGAAACAGAUGUGGAGGGAUAGAGUGGAGGUGGAGUUGGUGUGGAUGACGCCUGGUGGAAGAGUUCGUGUCUCUGUGCAAGGGCAGCAGAGCAAGGACAAGCCUCCUAGGACGCGCUUCCGUGGUGCAGCGGAAACGUGCCCCCCACAUGCGCAAGGGCCUUGGAUCUGUCGUGUUUACCCCAGCGAAGACACUUUCAAACUACAACGCGGGUCUUGCAGAGUGUAAUUCAGACGGAGGAGCUGCUUUAAAAAAAUGGUAGCAGGCAUGUUUUACAGCAUGACCCGCCCAUUACGACUCUGAAGCCCUUAAAUCCGCAAGUCUCAAGAAAUACAUCAAGGUAGCGGCGAGCGGUGAGGCCGGGCGCCGCGAACCAGACACGGCUACAAGCGACCCACCCAAGAGCGAUACGCGGCAAGACUGUGGUUUAUAUACUCUUGUGUCUUGUCACAAAAGAUUUUUAAAUAAUAUAAAUUAAAAUAAAAUAGGUAAAAAUAA
Molecule: long non-coding RNA, 1122 nt
Organism: Penaeus vannamei (Pacific white shrimp)
Lineage: Eukaryota; Metazoa; Arthropoda; Malacostraca; Decapoda; Penaeidae
Source: RefSeq, a predicted model, not a curated record